GACGAACGCUGGCGGCGUGCUUAACACAUGCAAGUCGUACGGUAAGGCCCUUUCGGGGGUACACGAGUGGCGAACGGGUGAGUAACACGUGAGUAACCUGCCCACAACUUUGGGAUAACGCUAGGAAACUGGUGCUAAUACUGGAUAUGUGCCCCUGCUGCAUGGUGGGGGUUGGAAAGCUCCGGCGGUUGUGGAUGGACUCGCGGCCUAUCAGCUUGUUGGUGGGGUAGUGGCCUACCAAGGCGGCGACGGGUAGCCGGCCUGAGAGGGUGACCGGCCACAUUGGGACUGAGAUACGGCCCAGACUCCUACGGGAGGCAGCAGGGGGGAAUAUUGCACAAUGGGCGCAAGCCUGAUGCAGCAACGCCGCGUGCGGGAUGACGGCCUUCGGGUUGUAAACCGCUUUCAGCAGGGACGAAGCUUUUUGUGACGGUACCUGCAGAAGAAGCACCGGCUAACUACGUG
Molecule: ribosomal RNA, 465 nt
Filed under: uncultured bacterium
Lineage: Bacteria
Description: partial 16S ribosomal RNA
Rfam family: Bacterial small subunit ribosomal RNA
Source: RNAcentral